GGGCUUGGCCGGUGGUACGCCAGAGGCUGCCCAUAGCAGGAAACCCCCGCAGAGGCCAGGGCCUCUUGUUCCACUUGGCAGAGACCCCAGAGAGAGCCAGGGGGCAGCAUCAGAGCCUGGGGCCCUGGCAGGGGUGCCCAAGGGCACGGCAGCUGCAGGUAUUGACAAGGCCAGAAGACGGCCCUCUGUGCAUGCCAUGCUUAAUAAGGUAAUAAAAAGGUAAGAUUAUAAAGAAGGAAGAGGCCUAUCAAGGAAAGAAGGCUCUUUAUUUGCUUUGCUGUCAUGGUAUCCUUCCCAUUCCACUGGCUUCCAGCACAUAUGUGGUAAGUGGCUGAAUGGCAGUAAUAGAAGAAUGAAUGAAGGUUGCAUGAAUUAGGAAAUGAAUUUGCAGUGUCCUCAAUGUUGUUGUAGUCUUGUGAUGGAAAGCAAUCCAUCUUCCUCUCAAGAGGUGUUUAGCUUGUUCUCAAAACCAGAGCUGCUCCUUGGUCUAUAAGUGCUAUUGGGGUGUGGCAGCAACCUGGGGUUGGGAGUCUUGGGCUUUACCUUGAUGUACUGGGUCACAUUAGAUGGUUAGCCUAUAGUUUAUUUGCAUCCACCACUGGUUUGCAUACACAACUGGGCACAUUUUGGGAGCCACGUAAAUAUUCAUGUAUAAAUUAGUCUCCCUAUGCCUUUGAUGCCUCAGUUUCCCUGGUUGUAAAAUAGUAUAAUACACUGGAAAGAUCCUCUUCAGGCCUUCUCCCAAUUAUGCAUGAAAAUACUUUGGCAGGCCAGGAGUGGUGGCUCAUGCCUGUAAUCCCAGCACUUUGGGAGGCUGAGGUGGGUGGAUCAUUUGAGGUCAGGAGUUCAAGACCAGCCUGGCCAACAUGGUGAAACCCUGUCUCUACUAAAAAUACAAAAAAAUUAGCUGGGUGUGGUGGCAGACGCCUGUAAUCCCAGCUACUUGGGAGGCCGAGGUAGGAGAAUCGCUUGAACCCAGGAAGCGGAGGUUGCAGUGAGCUGAGAUCAUGCCACUGCACUCCAGCCUGGGCAACAGAGGGAGACCAAGACUUAAAACAACAACAACAACAACACAACAAAACUUUGGCAGCAUGCUGUUCACAAGAAUGGGACCAGGCCUGUGGAGCUUUCUAAUACCUUCAGGCACAGUCUUUAUAAACACUAGAGAGCAUUACUUUGUCUUUCCUGGAAACUUCUAGGUGUUAGGAAGUCCUAGCAGCAGUCCUCAGGGUUCGUAAUCAUCACAUGCCGGUUGCUUAUUCAGCAAUAAUAAGUAACACUGAGUGCUAUGUAAAUAUCGAGCCCUUUCCUAGACGCUUGUGCUUACUUCAUUUAAUCCUCACAACAUGAGGCAGGUAAGUACUAUUAGUAUCCCCAUCUUACAGAUGAGAAAACUGAGCCCCAGAUAGAUUACAUUACUAAGUUUUCCAAGACUUAUAGCUGACAAGUAGAAGAGCCAGGAUAUGAACCCAAGCAAUUAAGCUCUAGAAGUUCUCUUCUAGCCAUUGAGUUGUACUGGUUGUUCUUCAGCAACUGCUAACACAGUAUGAGAGUUUUACAGGAAUCUUGAGCAAGCUUUGCUGGUAAAGGAAAUGUUCUAUAGUUGUCUCUGUAAUUUUUUUUUGAAGAGAUUCCAGUGGGAGAAAGUACAUAGCUAGUAACAGUUCUAUUCUUCUUGUUAAGGGCACAGGCUAGGACAUCAUAGCAGCGUUCUUCACUACAUCAUAAGUCUACUUAUGUUAAUAUAUGUAGCAGCCAUUCUGAAACUCUGCAUUUCUGCUUGUUAAAAAGGAGGUGAAAAAUGACCAACAACACAAACUUCGAGAAGCAUAUGCAAAUACUACAGUUGUAUUCAAUAUCAACUUUUAUUGUAGCUUCCCCAUAAGCAAUUCUGAGAUUAUAAAUACAGUCGUCUCUCAGUAUUGUCAGGAGAUUGAUUCCAGGACACCCGUGAAUACCAAAAUCCACAGAUGCUCAAGUGUCUGAUAUAAAAUGGUAUAGUGUUUGCAUAUAACCUACACACAUCUUCUUGUAUACUGUAAAUCAUGUCUAGAUAACUUAUAAUACCUAUUACAAUGUAUAUGCUAUGUAAACAGUUGUUAUUCUGUAUUUUUUCACUUGUAUUAUUUUGAUUGUUGUAUUGUUAGUUUUAAUUAUUAUUAUUUUUCAAAUAUUUUCAACUCAUAGUUGGCUGAAUCCAUGGAUGUGGAACCAUGGAUACUGAGGGCCACCUGUCAUUGCUUCCAGGUGACUGUUACUUGUUUAGCAUCUGUCACUUUUCUCUUCCACUGCUCACUUUUUUUUUUUUUUUUUCAGACAGAGUCUCGCUCUGUAGCCCAGGCUGGAGUGCAGUGGCGCAAUCUCGGCUCACUGCAACCUCCGCCUCCAGGGUUCAAGCAAUUCUCCUGUCUCAGCCUCCCAAGCUGGGACUACAGGGGCCCACCACCAUGCCUGGCUAAUUUUUGUAAUUUUAGUAGAAAUGGAAUUUCACCAUGUUGGCCAGGCUGGUCUCAAACUUCUGACCUCAGGUGAUUCACCCACCUUGGACUCCCAAGGUGCUGGGAUUACAGGUGUGAGCCACCAUGCCUGGCCUCCACUGCUCAUUUUUUAAAAAAUCUAAAUUUAAGAACAAUCCAUGAAUUACUGGGGCAAUUGCUUUUUUUGACAGAUAAUAUAGCCAUGGAAAUUCCUUCUCAAUCAUUGUUCUGCUGACUAACUCAGGCCACCGUAUUUACUGUAGGCUAAGGACAAUGGGGGUUACAUGGAAGCCACGAUGUCUGUCUUACUGGAGGUUUUCUAUCCAUUGGAGAAACAAGAAUAUGUACAUGGAUAAUUAAAGGAUAGGAUGAAGUAGCAUUUGGUAUGUGUACUGGGGGUGGCACAGACACUAUGCUCCACGGGAAUGAACUAAUGAUGGAGCUGGAGUGGUCAAGGAGAAGGUCAUGGAGGAGGGCAGCUUUACUCCUACUGAAUGGGAUGGGGAGGAUUUUGAUGGGUGCAGAGAAGCAAAAUUGCAUUUCUAGUCUCAUGUGUUAUUGAGGCAGCAUAGUUCAGGGGCUCUAAGAAAAGUUUCUGGAACAAGGCUGCUUGGGUUUAGAUCCUGAUUCUGCUACUUUUUAGCUGUAAAUCUAAAGAAAAGUAGAAAUUUGACUUCUCUGAGGUUUAGUUUUCUAAUCUCUAAGGAGGUAGAAGGAGGAAAAGAGAAUUUCAGUCAGGGUCCCAACAGGAAACAGAUGGUGUCCUCUAAACAGGAUGAUUUAUUUACAAGUAUUAGUGCAGUAACGUGGAGCAGGAGCGGUGAGGGGAGAGGAUAGGAUAUUAUUAUUAGAUCCUUAGGAUUGAGUGGGAAAGAAGGGUCCCUAGGAGCAGUAAGCCCAGUGUGGAGGAAGCCACCUCCAAAGAACAGUGCCCUUCAGGCUGGGGGCAGAACCAGCCUAAAGGAGCAGAGGGAAGGAGCCAGGACAAGCAAACACCUUCAUUGCUCCAUUGCUCUGAUUUUUUGCCUGGCUUCAUCCCUCUUUCCCUAUGAACCCAGGAGCCCAAUCAGGAAGCUACCAUCUUGGGAAAUGGAUGAAACCAUCCAGGUCAGGCUAUCAGGAUAAGAACCUGGAAGAGAAUGGAAGAGUCUGGAUCUGGAGAGGCAGACAGAAAGUGACCCAAGAGGGAACAGCAAAAUGCGAAUGAUGUAUUUUGUUAGGGAAAGGCUUGCUGCUUGACUCUAAGGCAGGGCGACAAUAAAUGUUGGAGAGAGAUGUGGUAGGUUGAGACCCUGGGCUUCCCUGUUUGUUGCCUCCCCAUGGUACUACACACUUUCCUUGAGGCAACUGUCUCUCAGGAACUUCUCUCCUUCUGCAGGCAGCAGUGCCUGUCUACAUCCUUCUAGAGCUGCGUCCCUAGAACCACUUCAGCCUCCUUAGUAGCUGGGACUACAGGUAUGCACCACCAGGCCUGACUAAUUUUGUAUUUUUUUGUAGAGACAGGGUUUUAUCAUGUUGCCCAGGCUGGUCUCGAACUCCUGAGCUCAAGUGAUCCACCUGCGUUGGCCUCCCAAAGUGCUGAUAGACUCUUCCUCCUUCCUUGCCUGUGGUUUUAAGAGCUGCCCUGAUAACUGCAGCCUCGUUGGAUUUUCUAGAAAGAAAGAGAGCUAGAUUUAAAGCUGCUCCCUGAACCAUAAUCUCUGAGCUGUCAUAGAGCCAGGCCAUGUAAUGCUUUGUUGCGGAAAAAAAGCUAAUGUGACUCAUUACAGCCUGAUGCAGAGAUUCCCUCUGACAGACACAUGCGGUAAUGGCUUGGAAUGAACACACUCCUACGAACAAUUGGAAAAGAGACUUCGCAUUGUUCUUUUAGCCCAUAAUUGGUUAGCUGUAAAAAAGGACUGCAUUGGUCGUACUACACAUUUCCACUCUGAACAAUGCCUUUAUUGGAUCAACUUAAAUAUAUGAGGAAUGAAGCAACCCAAUGUCUGUAUGUAGGUUUGAAAAACCAAGGUGUCCCUACAGCCAAGCCUUUAGGGGGUGCUGCUCUAUUGCCUAACAGUUGUGUUUAUGUUUCUCUUGCCAUAUUGAGCUUGACUCUCUCUUUCUACAUAAUGUUUUGGGGGGUAAAGGACUGUAGGGCUUGGGGACAAGCAGAAAAUUACCCAUUAGCAACUAUCUCCAUGAACAGAUGCAUUUGCCCCCUUCCCCGCCCUUACAGACAGAGCUUGAGAGGAAGAUACCCACCAAGGGAAAGUUCUGAAUUACAUCUGUCUUGAAGUUUUAAUUCUUUUUUCUUCCAGGUGCUAGUUCUGAGCCAUUAAGCCCCAAAUCAAGGGUGGUACUGCUUCCUUAGAGAAACAAUGACAUGGCAAGACAUUAUAUUUCUUUCUAGAAAGUCAUGCAUUCAUGCUCCUCUUAUCCAAAUUGUAGGCCACUGAGAAAGCUGGCUAAUUGCAAAGGGGCUGGAUUUCAGGGUGGGAAGAGUGAAUGGGCCUUAUUUUCUGAUGAACACAGAUGAAGUUGCAAUUUGCCAUCUUCAAUCAACAUCAUCGGGAGGCAUCAGCAAAGGCCACCCACUAACUGUGUUUUUGUAACAGAAAUCUGAGAUCCCUUCAUAUGACAGUUCUCAAGGUCAGCUUUCUGUGUUUUUCCAUAGUGUCCUGCACUUAUAGGAUGAUCUCAGAUGAAUUUGAAUUGGUCUUCAAUUUUGCUUUUGGAUGCAUAUAAAAUAAUUCCUUUUGAAACAAUACCCUCAUGAUUAAAAAACCACUGCAGCUAAAAAUAUUUAAAUCAGGAAGAAUCCCAAAUAAAGAACUUGGCAAAACACAUAAGAUAUGACAAAAUUUUUGCUGGCAGAAUAUAAAAUAGAUAUCAAAAGACUAAACUACACAUACGGCACCAUGAAGUGCUAGAGUUUUGCUUGGUAUCGUUUUGCCCAAGAUGUUUAUACAUCUCUAUGUAACUGCAGCUAAUCAUAUAAAUUCUUUGUUUCAGUUUGAAAUCUGCUCAGGUUGACACCUCCACUUUUGUGUUGAUUUUCUCCCAUCUUCUGAUCUGUCUGCCUUUUUUAUUUCUAAAGAAUAAAUUAUUGGCAGAGCAUGGGCUUGAGAAGCAGAGUUUUGAUUCUCUUUAAUUUUUUUCUUCUUUUCCUCAUCUUCCUGUGCUUAUCUCUGGCAACCCCUGAUCUUAAACUCCAGACUUAACUCACAUUAUCUCAAUAAACCCUUCUUGUUUUAAUUCCCUGUCAGACUGAUCUUUUCCUUUCCUCCCUCCUUCUUUUCCUCUCUAUUUUUUAUUUCUUUCCCUAGAUGUCCUCCAUUUUAUGGGUCAACUAUAAAUUAUAAACUGACACAUAUCAUGGGUGGAUUGUUCUGCUUGGUGGGCAAGGUGGUCACAACAGAUUUCAUGACAUCAGCUUUUCCACUUAAAAGGGAAAGGCUUAUCCUAAAACUAGGACCAUUCUUUUCUUUUUGUUAAGACUUUCUCUGCCCAAUUUCACUUUGGGCAAAGGAAAGUGUAAACAGUGAUCAUGGCUGUUAUCCUCUCUCUACCCAAAACAGGGAAGCUUCACUCAUGUUUUUGUUUGUUUAUUUGCUUGUUUUUUAGAGAUAGGGUCUCAAAAGAAAACUUCAGCCCAGCUUGAAGUCCACUAGUGCAAUCACGGCUCACUGCAGCCUCGAUAUCCUGGACUCAAGCCAUCCUCCCACUUCAGCCUCCCUAGUAGCUGGGACUACAGGCAUGCACCACCAGGCCUGGCCAAUUUUGUAUUUUUUGUGGAGACAGGGUUUUGCCAUGUUACCCAGGAUGGCCUCAAACUCCUGAACUCAAGUGAUCUGCCUGCAUUGGCCUCCCAAAGUGGUGAGAAUAUAGGCUUGAGCCACCAUGCCUAGCUUCACCAAUGGGUUUUGAGGCUUUUGGGUAGACAGAGGUGAUCCAUGACAGCAUUGGGAGUUUCUAUAGGAAGCAUUGUUUGGGAGACCAGAGGCCAGGAGCAUGAGGAUGCCAGGGUGUGGCAAGGGGUUCAUCUCACUGUCUUUAUUCCAUUCAGCACCGGCGUCCCCCAGAGUAAUAAGAGCUGUGAGCAUCUCCAGGGCAUCUGUCCAGGGAGAGCUCUCCUUCCUCUCUCAGACCUCACCACCCUCUGACUCUCUACUUCCUGGCAGCUUCUGUAUCGUUCUUAAUGUGGAUGUGAUCCCAUGGUUGAGGUUUAGGGGUUUUUAGAUCCCUAGAUCUCACAGGGGCUGCUGUCACCUAGGAGCAGCAACAUUUUCGAAUAUUUUCCCUUUAGCAAAAAUUAUUCAGUAUCCUCCCCCUAUUUUUUCUUUCCUAGGGAAAUAACUCUAAUGUUAAAACAAUAGAUCAUUGGUUUCCAUCUAGACCUGACUAGAUUCCUCCUUCCUGUGAUUUCAUAUCUCACUUUUUCUGAGUGUUCAGCCCACAGUGAUUUUUCUAUUUCCAACUCCCAUAGAGGAUACUAGGUCUCCCUGAGGGUGGGCACUGCUUCUUAUUCUUUGUGAAUCCCCAGAAGUGAGCAGAGGGCAUGCCACUUGACUGGAACUCCAUAGUACCUUCUGGAAUUCACCAUGCACUGAUAGUGCAACUAUUUUUUUUUCACAUAAAUAUGUUUUGCUUUUCAGCUAGAUUUCAACUCCCCGAGAUUACUGCACCAUGUAACCACCGCAGAGUGUGCUGUUCUUUGGAUGGAGUUAGGUGCUCAUUAUAGACUUGUUUUGAUAAUCAUGACUAAACAUCACAAAUGUUUUACUGAAAUCUUUCACUGUGUCAGAAGUGUGAUGGGCACAUAGGAUAAAACAUGAAAAAACUUCCUGUUUUUUAGGAAGUCAAGUUAUAGCAUCAUAAUAAUAACAAUCUAGUUUUACUUACUAGAUCCAUGAGGUCUGGCAGAGAUACUAAUCUUAGCAAAUACCCAUUGAUUUAAUCACCAUUAUGUAGACCUGAUUUUGGAAGCACAGUACCGUAUUGUCAUCUGAUCGCCUGGCAUGUUCAUGUAAGGCUGGGAUUGAAUUGUUUUUGAACUGCCAUGAGUCAUGCCAAUGAGCUGCAUGCACUAUUUCUCAUUUAGUGUCUUGCCCAUCUAAAUUCAAACCAACUGUCAACACAGGCUCUGUGCUGGGCACUGGACAAAGAGAGAGCAUAUGUAUUUGACACAUUACUAAUUCUCAAGGGCUCACAACUGGGACUUACAUCAACACUGCUUACCCCUACUAGGAGGCAGACUGCUAAAUUCAAGAAUAGAGAUAAAAACGUAGCAUUACUGGAGUGAUUAAUUUUGACUGCAGUGAUUCUGGCAGACUUCACAAAUAAAUUGACAUUUGAGUUGGCCCUUGAUAUUGGAUUUUGACAGGCAGAGAUGGAAGGAAAGAGCAACCCAGGCAGGUGAAACAGAAUGAAAAAAGGCACGAAAAUGUGAAAGUUUCUUCCCUAAGUAAGCAGUGGAGGCAGAAUACUUGGGCAUGGUUUGAAUAUAGAUUUUCUAGGGCUGCGAAUGACCCAAAUCAGGGGCUGCCGUGGCAUUUUCCAGGUCAAAUUAGGCCACUGGCCAAGAUUUAUUUGGCCUAGCACAAGGUUUUCCAUUUUUCUGACUUGCUGCCAACAUUUAAAAAUCAGGAGUUUUCACAGACACAUUUGGAUUCUGGCUGCUCUUGAAGAAAAUCUAACAAUAGAGGGUCUGCAUUUCCUCAAGGCAGCAACUGGCUGGCACUGAGUAAUGGCUGUUCUUUUUAAACAGGCAAGAGCUCUUCAGCUUGUGACCAUCCUAACUGGCCUCAAUCAAAUGACACAGGCAGGUGUUUGAGUUUGUGCCCUCUGACCUAAAAGCUUUACUGACUCCUGCAUGCUGGGAGAGGUGGUGUCGAUUGCAGGGAGCUUUAUGCAGUGGUUGAUUAAACACACAUCUGGAAGACUCUUGGGAAUUGGCAGACUCUUCAAGGAAGAGAAAGUAUCAGGAAGUCAUCCCAGCUGCUGCUCUGAGGAAUCUUGCUUGUCUAAUUAGAUCUUAGGCUGGCACACCUGGUGGAUUUUUCGAGGCAGGGAAUAAUGACCCUCACAGUUUAAAAGAUCUCUUUCCAUGGCAACCCACAAUGCUUUAGUCAAUUUGAGAGCUUGUUAGCAUCACGUCUCUAGUUUAUCUUUCCCUUAUAAGUGAGUUUUCUUUCUUUCUGAAUUGCAUACUGGUGGCAUGCCAACAAGAAUCAAAAUCCACUUUCAGAACAAAGGAGGAAAUAUAUAUGUGUUUUUUCUCUUUAAUUUCCUUUGUUCAGCUCUUAUGCCAGUCCGAUAUUCCUACUUCUUGGACCUUUGUGAGCCAACCUUUUAUUUCCCUUUUUCUUAUGGAAAAGUGCACUUUGAUUGCACUGGUGCUUAUGAACCAAUGCAGGAAUUUUUUUUUUUUUUUUUUUUUUUUAGACAGAGUCUUGCUCUGUUGCUCAGGCUGGAGUGCUGGAGUGCAGUGGCUUAAUCUCAGCACAUUGCAGCAUCUGCCUCCCAGGUUCAAGCGAUUCUCCUGCCUCAGCCUCCUGAGUAGCUGGGACUACAGGCACGUGCCACCACCCUACCCGGCUACUUUUUGUAUUUUUAGUGGAGAUGGGGUUUUGUCUUGUUGGCCAGGCUGGUCUUGAACUCCUGACCCUAAGUGAUCCAUCUGCUUCGGCCUCCCAAAGUGCUGGGAUUACAGGCAUGAGCCACAGUGCCUGGCCAAUGCAGGACUUUUUAAUACAAAUGCAUGUGAAGGCCCUCAAAUGCAAACACACAGAAACAUACGUAACAAAAUGCACUUGUUUAUGUACUGUGUACACACAGAGACCUGUGAGCUCUUGCUCAUAUACAAACUUGCUCUGUGCCUGAUGCCUAUUAGGAGUGAGAGGUUCCUAACUGACAUAACCUUCUUUUCAGAAGAAUAAAAUAGAAGGUUACUGAGUCUACGAGCUAAUCUGUCUAAUUAGAUGCCUCUGAGCAAAAUGCAUAAAAUUUGCAUGAAUUAUCUUAACAUGCAAAGAAUAGGAUACUGGGAGGAAAACCCAAGAAAAUUUGCAUUUUGAUGGGGGUGGGGGAAGUUUGAGGGCUAUCAUAUAGAAGAUCCUUUCUUUUAUGUUUUGGGACUCAGUUCAAGAGGAGCUGCAGUGGGCUGACUAACAUCAGCAAAGACAGCCCGUAUAUCCUUGGGCUCUGCAAGCAGUUACUCCAAGUCUUGUCUGCAGACUGUACAGUGGAACAGCCAUCCAACCCCAACUGGGGAAACUUCAUUAAGGCAGUGCAAAGUAAUCAGUUUCAGUCCUGGCCUCUGGCUGGCUUGAAGGACAAUCCCUUCUCAGCUGUAGGUGGCACUGUUGUAUCUAUUGUAAGAAGCGCUGUACUUCGGCUAGCUACAUCACUGCUAUUUAAAAUGGAGGAAAAAGAGAAAAAAAAUAAAAUCCAACUCCCUCUUCCUCCUUGUCCCACUCCAUCUCCUAACAUGCACUGUACACCCUACCUGGGCAAACCUCCUCCAUGCCACCCAGCGGACAUUAUAUGUUGUUUAAGCUUAUAUGUUUUGUUUAAAAUCAGUGGUUCUCUUAGGCCCUUUGCAGUGUAUGUGCAAUUUAGCUCUGGGAUGUUUCAUCUGAAGCUCAACUGCCUGAGAUGAUACUUGCUUCUCCCCAUUCUCCUCCCCUCUACCCUCCCUAUUUUUCCUUUCCCUGCUAUAACUCACAUUCACAUAGUGAUGGGUGGUAUUGGAAGACAGACUGGGGAAUAGUCUGUGUCUUGGACUCUGGAAGAGGCACUGGUUAGUAAUAGAAAUAAAAACCGCAGGAGCUGAGUGGCAGUGUGUGCUGGGGAGAUGGCAACUUGACCGAAAUGGGAGCGUGGGAAGAGAGCCAACUCUUGCUUCUCCCAUUUCAUUCUUUCUGGCAGUUCAGAAAACUGGUUUCCCCUGGGUUGACAGGCUUGGGCCAAAUAUGAGAAUUAAAUUCUGACAUCUAGUUAGAGGUAGUGAGGUUGAGGUGGUGGAAGAAGAACCACUCCUUAGGAGUGCCUCAGCUUCCCCAGUGCUGAGAUGGAACGUUGUACUGACCCAUUAGGCAAAGCCUUAUGGACAAUAUUAAAAUGAUGUGUAUGGGAAAAAAAAGUGAUAGGUUUAGGAGAUGGGAGCUAAUUCUCAAAACAUUGUAGUAUAUAAUGAAAAGACAGAAAAAAUACAAGAAAAAUAGGUAAUAUUUGGAUAGCAACUUAAACUUUGCAAAGUUCUCCCACCCUCAAUAUGAAGCAUCUUCUUUCCUCUCUCAGCAUUGGUAUCCCUGUUUCACAUAGGAAGGCACUGGGUCCAUUCAGUGACUUGCUCAAGGUCAUGGAGGGAGAAGUAGAGCCAGUUCCUAAAACCAGGUUGUCUAACUCCAAGUUCUGCCAUCUCUAGGUAUUUGUUUCAUUUUUUAUUCCCAAAUAAAUACUGCAGUUGAGAAGCAAUACCCAAGUCUAAAGAAUCAACGUUUGAUUCUUGCCACCCAAGAAUCAAAUCAAGAUAUUAUGCUUAAAGCAAUAAAAAGAGGUAUCCAGUCUUUUUUUAUUUGUUUGUUUUUAAUGAAAAUUCUGACUUUACAUUGACUUCAGAAGCAAUAACCUUAGGGUAUCCUCUCUGUUCCUUUGUUAAUUUUGCUGUUUUUUCUUUAGCUUAUAAUUUUAUCUCUUUGAGCCUCAAUGGUAUCCUCUGUAAAACAGGUUGAAUAAACUGUUUCUAAGCUUUGGGCAUCUAGGGAAAACAAAUUAAUGCUUUAUAUGUCACUCAGGGUUCUUUGAAUGAAAAAUUCAAGAUGAGCAUUAGUUUUUAUCAUUGUUUUAAUAGCAGUUUAUUAAGCCAAAACCUUAGGGAAUCAUGUAAGAAUAUAUGAUUUCCUCUGCCUGAUUACAUCUUUAUCUGUGAGUUUUGUAAAAGUUUACAAUGGAUGAAAUAGUACUUAACAGCUUCAUAAACCAAACUGUUAUGCACAAUUAAAUGGUCUUCACUCUUAUUAUCUUAACUAAUGAAUUUUGCCAGGCAUCUCCGUUAUAGCUGUAUGAUUUAUAAAGAUUAUAUUUACUUUUUCUCCUUAUAAGAACCUAAUGAGACCAAAUUGGUUGCAUGUAAUCAGACACUGGCCUUUUUCAUCUCUUCGGGUUUUAUUUACGAAACCUUAUUAGAGCAAACGUACUGAGUAAUAUGCAGCGAUAGCUAGGUUUUGCUUAAUGAUCCAAACAGCCAACAUGGAAUGCAGAUAAUGAAAUGACAGGCUGAUUACAAAUGCGAGGAGAAAAGUAAAUGUGCUCAGAGCCCAUUUCUACAAUCCUUACCUAGGCAGAACACCCAUUAACAUGUUUCAACCUAAGAACACAUACUUCUACAGAGGCCUAAGAUAAGACUGUAACACAUAUCUCAGAAACUGAGGGUUGAGUUGUUUUCCAGCAGUGUAGGAUUGGGCCGAAGUAUUAUGUACAAGUGGUUUGUGUGGGAUGAUUAUGCAGUGGCACCAAAGGUUUGAUGAGCCCCAGUUCAUGAAGGCAAACUGCAGGAGAUAGUUCAUGGAGCUUGCAUUCAACAGCCACUACUAAAAUAAAUAAUAAUUUGGACUAACACGAGUGUUUUCCCUCUUAGAAUCUCUUUUAGUGCUAAAACCUAAUACAAUCUGGAUUGAUAUUAUCCAAGUUAGUAUUAAUCACAUGACAAUCCUCUCUCAAAGAUAGAAGCAGACUACAUUAAGACAUUGCUGGACUGUCUUAGUCCAUUUUGUGUUGCUAUAACAGAAUACCUGAGGCUGGGUAAUUUAUAAAGAAAGGAGGUUUAUUUAGCUCAUGGUUCUGCAGGCUGGGAAAGUACAAGAAGCAUGGUGCUAGCAUCUGCUUGGCUUCUGAUGAGGGCUUUUGUGUUGCUCCAUAACAUGGGGGAGAAGGUCAAAUGAGAAGCAGACAUGUGCAAAGAAGCAAAAUCAUAGGGGGAUUCUGCUUUUAUAACAACCUACGUUUGAAGGAACACUCCGGCAGGAACUAAUCCAGUCUUGUGAGAGCAAGAACUCACUCAACUACUGCAAGAAUGGCUCGAAGCCAUUCAUGAGGGAUCUGCCUCCAUGACCCAAACAUGUCCCAGCAGGCCUUGCCUCUCAACAGUGCCAUAUUGGAAAUCAAAUUUCAACAUGGGUGUGGAUGGGGACAAACUCAAACCACAGCAUAAACCAAGUGCCUAACAUCAGUGCUUUUAUCAUGGCUGUACGUGUUGGAAGCUCUUAAUCCACAAUCUCUUCUUCCUUUCCUUACUGUGAUGUUCCCUUAUUUUAACAAAGCAAAGAUUUACUGUACUUUUAGCAGUAGAACAUGGAGCUGAUUUUUUCUGAUUUGACUUAGAAGGCCCUGAAGGAAGAGGGACAGCCUUAUUGUUUUCCCAGAUGUCACUCUUAAAUAUUUCCAUUCUUCUGUAAUAUUUGACUUUGUAAUGACUUGGCCAUUCAUAAAACUUUCCCAAGCAAUGUUUGAACCCAUUUAUACAUUUAUAUCCUCUCUGUACCAACUGCUGGUAUAAUGCAUUUGGUAAGUUUAUUACCCUUUGGGUGAACAACUUCCUCUAUAAAGUUUCAAAGGGCGUCCUCUCAUACUAGUAUUUUGAGAUUUGGUGAAUAAAUCAAAACAGAAUAAAUCAAAAUCUUAUUCAUGUUAUUGAAGCUUUUGUAGUUUAAGACGAUAUUCCCAAUCUGGUCUUGACAUUUACAGGCAACUGAUACCUCCAGACCUUGGACUUCUGGUUGUUUUGUGUAACAUUCGCUGCAGAAUAUCCCACUAGGAGAAUGCUAUUUGGGGAUUUUCUUAUCCAGGCCCUGUUCUUUAUGUUUGUUUCCUUCACCUGACUAGACUACACUAGUCUAGAAUAACCUAAAGUCAAUGGGGAAAACAGUUAUGGGAUUAGAUAAUGCUACAGGCCACUGUUAUUGUAGAAUGAAGAAAGUCAAGCUCAAAGAAGUAAAGUGACUUGCCCAAGGUCACAGUGCUAGUUAAAAAGAGAUCUGGAUUGGAACUGGACUCUCAGAUAAAUAUUCUUUCCAAGGACUUGCUAAAGGUCAAACUGCUAACUAUUUUUUUGUUAUCCUCAUGUGGUCGAAAGUUCCCAUGAUCAAAAAGUAUUGAGAUUAGAAUCUCGAAGUAGGCUGUUCUUUCUCCAAUGCUCCCUCAUUCCCCAUCAUGUCUUUCAUUCUGGUGAAUGUGUUCUUGGUCACUCUUGCCAGAGACCCAGUGUCUUGGUGCUACUUCCUACCUGCCUAUGGCUUACCGUGUCCACCAUGGUGACCUUUAUGAUCUGUGCUUCUGGCAGUCCCCAUUUGACUUCUCUGCUACUUGCUCCUCUUCUCAAUUCCAUUAACCCACCAUAUGGCCCCUGCAUCAAGACCUCCUACUCUGGUUUUACUACCAUGGCCUUGAUACCCUAAGGACAACAGUCAAACUGGAUAUACCAUUCCCAGUGGAGAUCCCCAGGAUUUCAAAUUCUUAAAUGCUUUUAUCCGCUCUCCUUUUCUUAUUAAAAUCAAACAAAGAGUAAAUGUAAGGGCUGCAUGUGGUGGCUCACUCCUGUAAUCUCAGCACUUUGGGAGGCUGAGGUGGGAGGAUCGCUCAAGGCCAGGAGUUUGAGACCAGCCUGGGCAACAUAACAUAGUGAGACCCCAUCUCUACAAAAAUAUAUACAUAUAUAUUAGCCAGGUGUGGUGGCGUGUGCCUGUAGUCCCAGCUACUCAGGAGGCUGAGGUAGGAGCAUUGCUGGAGAAUUGCUUGAACCCAGGAAUUUGAAGCUAUAGUGAGCUAUGGUCACACCACUGCAUUCCAGCCUCAGGCAACAGAGCAAGAUCCUUUCUCUCAAAAAAAAAAAAAAAAAAAAGAAAAAAGGGUGAAUGUUGAAAAUGUUGUAGAUCUCCAGGAAUCAUGAUCAGUCUAGGAGGAAGAUUAGAUCUUUUCUUUUCACUAUCCAUUGCUUUCUGGUGUUGGCCUGCUCUGUAGCUGAUCCUUUAUACUUGACUCUGGACUUAUCUUUUGCAUAGAGGAGACAGUGCCAUCAUUUUGAUGGUGUCCUUUCCUCCCAGAGGAAUGCAUGGGGUUUGAAAAUGACCAUCCACAUGACAAGACAAGAGCACUCAAGGAAGGGGAAUGCAGAAAACAGAGAAAAGGAAAGGACUAUAGAAGGCUGGCUUUUCCUGGUACCACCUUGUAUUUCUCCUCCCAGUUUUGUCUCAUUUUGUUCUGUUUUAUGGCUUUUAAAUCUCCUUUCUGUGUCUCUCCCUUUCUUCUUACUGUAAUACCCUCCUAGGCACAUUUCUUCUUGAGCCGAAACACAAUUUUUCUGGGUUACACUGUCCCAGAGAAGUUUCUCCUGGUGAACCCCCUCCAAUUCUCCACCAAUUUUAGCUGUCUUGAUAUGUUCUUCCCAUUUGCCUGUUCUGUUUGGGAUUUUGAAUUUGAGGCAAACAUUUACACCUUUUGCAUUUAGAGUAUAUAAGAUGUUAUUUCAGGGCUUGGUGUCCUGUUAUUUUCAUCUGAAGCAUUUGAGCCUAAAAGAAUUUAUUCUCCAAACUUCUUUAUCCACAUUUAUGAGCAUCUUGCAAUAACAAUGGUAGAUGUUAUCAUUUUUAGUUACUUUGUAGAUUGCAAAAUGCAUCUCCAGGCUUGCUUCAUGUAGCUGCUUGACUUGCCUGCUCUGUGUAAAGGUUCCAUGUAUCUGUCUGAUGGUUCUAUCUCUCUUCUUUUGUAAGCUCAUGGCUAGAGAUGCCAUUAAUUCCUUCCACCCUGUUGUCUAGAAAUACUCUGCACACAAUGGACCCUUGAUUUUCUGAAUAGGUUUGUAAGUCUCAGUUGUUAUUUCAAAUGUCCCCACUACAGAUUUAUUCUAAUUUAAGAAAACCCAACACAAACCACUAGAAUUUACAGACACAUAUAUUAUUUGUAUUACACAAUGACUUAUCACUGGACUUUCUCUAAUAGCAAACUUCUUUAGCGUAUUAAAGCUAUUUUUAUUUUAGAAGGCAAUUUAAUUUGUAUGGAAAAAUGCAUGAACUGGAGUCAGUCACAUUGAUUGGAUGUAAUAAGAACACUUGAUUCUUAGAGACAAAUGGCCUGGUAGUAUGUCUUUUGAUCAUAUAGUUAUGUCAUACAUGAAGGUGACUUUGACAUUAUUAUGAAUGGUAAGUUCUCAAUUUACAGAAAUGAAAAGUAUGUAAGGAUGGAUAGUAUAGAAGGAAGGAACAGUGUUCUCCUGGGUUUCAGUCCAGAGCCUAAAAUCUAGAAUCUAUCCUAAAAUGGAUACAUUGGAAAAGAACUGCCGACACACACACACACACAUACACACACACACACACACACACACACACACACACACACAGAGACUAUUCUACCCUCCUCUCCUCUACCCCCACUUUUUCAGGUAGGAAGAGGGCAGCCCCAGAAUCGUGUUGACUUAGCUUGAGGACUUUGCUCAACCUUGCUAGGAUCACUUCCUAGGCUUUGUGAGAUUUGCCCCAGUGAGUUUCACUUUUGCUGUGACCAAGGCACACCUGUUCCCCAGGGCUGGACAAGAAAGCUAUCAGGCCUUCCUGAGCCGGUCCAGCUCCUGGUUCAGCUCAGCCAUGUGGAACCCUCCACGACUCACUUUCCUCUAACUGAAACAGCCAACCUCUCAGUCCCCUCAUUCUCUCUCUCCCACUCUUGAAAGCCAAUUUCCUGCUUCAAUCUUAUUCUUAUGAAUAGAAACACAGAGCUUGCAUGGAGAAUGAGAAACUACUGUAUCAUAGGAAGCAAUCACACAGAACACAAAAAGCCAUUCAAAGUAAUUAAACUACUCCCAUCCCCUUUUCUAUAUUUCUUUUCAGCUCAGCACUGAUGGGCUGUUUAUCUUUGCCACCACAACUGUGGCAGCGGCAGAGGAAACAGCAAGCCAUUUUCUGCAAGGGCACAUGCCGAGAGGGCAGAAUUAAGACAAAUGCUCUCAUUCUUGGCUGCCAAAGCAUUUUAGCUUCUGAAAAGCAAGGGAAGCAAUGCCAUCACCCUGUGAAGAAAUAAAUAAAUAAAGGCCCGGUGGCAAGAGAAGCUUCUGGGUGAUUUUCCACUUGUCAGAGGAAAAGGGGGAUGGGGCCAGUGAAGAUGGGGGUGAGAGGGAGGGGGGAGCUCAUUAUCUUCCAGCCCCUGAAGCUUUUGUUCUCUUCAGCUGUGCUAAGGAGGCUGCAGCUCUGCUCCCAGCUGUGCAGAAUCUUGCAAGCGAACUAAGAAGAGUCUGAGACCAGCAAUAUGACUCCAGCAGGCAUCGCUGCAGGGAGAUGACAGCUGGGCAAGAAAGUGGAGCCCCCAGAUUCCCAGUUAGCAAGACUGAGCUAACAGGGCUCUCCAUGUUAAUACCUGCAUGGAUGCUUUUCCAGUACAGCUGCAGAAAGAGACUGCUGAGAGGUUUGCCUGAGGGCUGUUUGCAAUUUUUUCCCUUUUGUCCUGGCCCCAGACUGUCCAUAGCAGCUGCUGCACCUUGGCGAGCAUCAUGGGGGAGUUUAAAGUUGGAGAAAAAGGGAGGAUCUUAGAGUGGUUCAAUCGCAUCUACUGCUCAAUAUCACAAACGCAUCUUGAAUGUGUUUGUUCUGUUGUGAAAAUCAAUGCUUCUUCAGAAUAGCUGGUGUUGGGACUUCAGUAAGAGAGCUCGAGGAAGUUUGCCUAAAGAAGGGCUUCUGGGCUGUCAGUAAGUCAGGCAGUCAGUCCACAGCUCUUUCUAGGUGGAAACUGAGAGGUGUUACAAAGGACCUACAUGAAAAACCUAACAACCGGUUCUCUGUGGAGAAGCCUGGACUGCUUAGAAACAUAUGCCCCUUAGGGGUGUACUCUCACCUGCUACUACUGCAGUCUACCAGACCUGCUGCUACCUUUUUUGGGGUUUCAAGCAACUUUCCAUCUAAUAGACAACCUAACCCAGCUUGAAGAUUUUUGCAGAGGAUGGUCCAUAAAAUGCCAAAUCAAGCUACAUGGACCAUCUCAGGUUUAUUUGAGGACUAAGUAGCUUGCAUUCCACUCCUGGGCGCUGCCCCACUCUCCACUGCACCCAUAGAUUUACCAUGGUAGAUUUAACUUCCCGGUUGAGGAAAACACCAAUUUCAGAGUAGCCCCAGAAGCCCUGCCUCCUCUCCCUCCCAAGUCCCUGUGGCCUUGCAGGGAGCUGCCUGUUUGGUUUAAUCUGGGGAGCUGGCACCUCUCCCAUUCCCUACUGUCAGGCCUGCACUGUUCAGCAUUCUUGUUUUUGCAUCUGUCAUUAUCUUUUGUAUGCAAAGAGGUUUAAUGUGCAAUAAAUGUAAAUGGCCAGUAUAUAGUCUGUGUUUUAUUAACUUCCAUUUGAGCCUGUUGUCAGUGACUACUCUGCCUUGCCAGGAUUCAUUAGCAAGACCCCCAGCCCUUGGUUUCUGCAACCGCCCAGUGGGUUCCUCUUGCCCACUUCCCAGACAGAAUAGAUUUUUCAAGACAGGGGAAUUGCAAUAGAGAAAGAGUUUUACACAUGUAGAGCUGGCUAAAUGGAGGACUGGAGUUUUAUUAUUACUCAAAUCAGCUUCCUCCAAAAUUUGGAGGCUAGAGUUUUUCAAAGAUAGCUUGGGGCGAGGGUUGGCUAGGGAAUCGGUGCUGCUGAUUGGUUGGAGGUGCAAUCAUGGGGAUGUGGAAAAUGGUAUGGUUCUUUUGCACUGAAUCUGCUUCUGGGUGGGGCCACAAGACAGGUCGGUGGGUCCUGGUGGAGCCAUUCAUCAUCAGAAAUGCAAAACCCCAGAAAGACAUUUCAAGUGGCCAGUCAUAGGUUCUGCAAUUGUGAGGUUAUCUGCAGGAGUAACUGGGGAAGCUGCAAACCUUGUGGCCUCCAGAGUAAUGACUGGUAAUUGUUUAAAUCUACACCUUAGCAGAAUUCAGGCUCCUCAUCCUCCUAACCUGGUGGUCUCUCAUUAGCUUUAUAAACAUGGUUUAGUUUUGGGGAAGGGCUAUUAUUUAAACUAUAAACUAAAUGUCUCCCAAAGUUAACUUGGUCCAAGUCCAGGAAUGAGGGCAGUUCAGAGGUUAAAGACAAGAUGGGGGUAGAUUAGAUCAGAUCUGUUUCACUGUCAUAAUUUUCUUACUACUAUAAUUUUUGCAAAGCUGGUUUCAUUUUCUUUGCUUGCCCUGUCUCAUUUCCAAAAGCUUCUUUGCCCAACUUCUAUUUCUGCAGAGCCCACUGUGCCCUCCUCUAGCUUUCAGGGUGAAGGGUACACACAAACUUUCCAUGGCAAAGUCUUUCUGGGAUGGUUUACUUCAACCAUUACCCAGACUUGACCUAUCUUAUGUGUGACUGUGACAGCAGGUGGAGAACUACUGAAACUAUUUCCUAAAUUUAGGUAAAAUCAAAUGUUGCUACCUAGUCAUGACCAUCAAUCUUUUCUCCCCUACUUAAAUAUUUUUCAAAGAUCCAGUCUUGUAAUAAUUUCACCUGCUUUGCGAAAGUGUUCAAUAUGCUAAAUAAAAAUGAUAAUUCAAUUUAUUCUCUCAGUAGGAAUCCUUGUAAGGUACAGGGGAGAUGGGGUAAUGCCUACCGAAAAAGAAAUUGAGUCUGUGGGGGUAAUGGCAAAAAAUCUCGGGAUUCUUGACUCUCAGGGCAAGUGCAUCGACAUUCAAAUGUCAUUGAGUUUAAUGUGCCUCCUUAAGUACUUACCUGACUACUUAGGAUUGAUUCAAGUAAUGUGGAGACAUUUUAAUUCUGACUUUUGGGUGAAAAUUCAAAGUAGCACAUUCACGGAAAAUGUGUUUUUAUAAUAUCUCCUAAGAGGCUUACCCAGUAAACAUUUCUAAUUUGAGAACCAGAGAACAGUUGCAAGUCAGAUACUGGGGUGGAUGGGGGAAGCACUGUACUGAAACAGUGCAGCCAUCACAAUCAUGGAAGGUUGGGGAUGGCUAUGACUGCUCCAAGGCUGCCGGUAUACACUAGGGGACACAGAGAAUUCACUGCCACAGAGUGCAAAUGUCUUCCUUCCCAGACCUGGCAAUGGCUUCAAGUAAGGGAUUUCAAGUAUUCCUGGAUGGAUUCUUUUAUCUGCUAUUGUAUAAAUGAUUCUAAACUUUUCUGAGUGAAUGUUAAGGAGGGAAAAUGGGUUAGAGAUAUCAGAAGUGUAUGCAGUGCUACAAACUUCCACAAAUGCUGCCUCAAAAAUACUGCAGCCCUCACUGUGGUACUUCUCCAACUCACAAUGGAGUUCCUGCUUCAGAGUUGACAAAAACAAACAAACAAACAAAAACCCCAAAAAGCCACAUUUCAUAUUGAGAUAUAAAUCACAUGGUGUAUUAGUCUGUUCUUAUGCUGCUAAUAAAGACAUACCCAAGACUGGGUAAUUUGUAAAGGGAAGAGGUUUAAUGGAAUCACAGUUCCACGUGGCUGGGGAGGCCUCACAAUCAUGGUGGAUGGCAAGGAGAAGGAAACUCAUGUCUUACAUGGAUGGUGGCAGGGAAGAGAAGAGAACUUGUACAGGGGAACUCCCCUUUAUAAAACCAUCAGCUCUUAUGAGACUUAUUCACUAUCAUAAGAACAGCGUGGGAAGGACUUGCCUCCAUGAUUCAGUUACCUCUCACUGGGUCCCUCCCAUGACCCGUGGGAAUUGUGGGAGCUACAAUUGAAGAUGAGAUUUAGGUGAGGACACAGCCAAACCAUAUCACAUAGCAUACACUGCAACCAUUUGAAGUAUACAAUUAGUUGGUUUUUAGUAACUCACAGAGUUGGGCAACCAUUAUCCAGCAAUUCUAGAACAUUUUCAUUUGCUACUUGUAUCUGGUAGCAGUAACUCCUCAGCCCUUGGCAACUGCUAAUCUAUUUUCUGUCUCUAUAGAUUUGCCUAUUCUAGACAUUUCAUAUAAAUAGAAAAAUUUAAUAUGCAGUCUUUUCUGACUGAUUUCUUUUACUUAGCAUAAUGUUUUCAGGGUUCAUUCAUGCUGUAGCACAUAUUGAUACUUCAUUCUUUUUAUUGCCAAAUAAUAUUCUAUAUAAUGGAUAAACAUUUUAUUUAUUCAUUUAUCAGUUGGUGGACACUUCGGUUGUUUACACUUUUUGGCUAUCAUAAAAAUGCUACUAUGGGGCAGUCAUGGUGGGUCACACCUGUAAUCUCAGCACUUUGGGAGCUUGAGGUAGGAGGAUUGCUUGAGACCAGAAGUUUGAGACCAGCCUGGGUAACAUAGCAAUACCCCUGUUUCUAUAAAAAAAAAUAAUAAUACAAAGUAAAAAUAAAAGUAUAAUGAUUCUAUAAAUAUUUAUGUACAAGUUUUUGUAGGGACAUGUGUUUCCGUAUCUAUUGGGUAUAUGCCUAGGAGUGAAAUUACUGGUUCAUAUAGUAACUCUAUGUUUAGCAUUUUGAGAACUGCCAAACUGUUUAUCAAAGUAACUGUACUGCAUUACAUUUUUACCAGUAAUUCAUGAGGGUUCCAGUUUCUUCACAUCCCACCAAUGGUUUUUUUUUGUUUUGUUUUUUUCUUUUUUGAGAUGGAGUCUCACUCUGUCACCCAGGCUGGAGUGUAGUGGCGCAAUCUCGGCUCACUGUAACCUCCUCCUGCUGGGUUCAAGCGAUUCUUAUGCCUCAGCCUCCCGAGUAGCUGGUGUGCACUACCACGUCUGGCUAAUUUUUGUUUUUUAGCAGAGAUGGGGUUUCACCAUGCUGGCCAGGGUGGUCUCGAACUCCUGACCUCAAGUGAUGCGCCUGCCUCAGCCUCCCAAAGUGCUGGGAUUACAGGUGUGAGCCACGGCACCCGGCCUAAUGCUUGUUACUGUCUGUCUUCUUUGUCCUAGCCAUUUUUGUGGGCAUCAAGUGACACUGCUCUGUGGUUUUCAUUUACAUUCCUCUAAUGGCUAAUGAUGCCAAGCAUCUUUUCAUGUGCUUGUUCGUUUGUGUAUCUGCUUUUGAGAAAUGUUUGUUUAGAUUCUUUGUCUAUUUUAAAAUUGGAUUAUGUUUUUAUUGCUGAGUUGUAAGAGUUCUUUACAUGUUCUGGAUAAAAUUCCUUAUGUAAAAGAUUUGCAAAUAUUUUCUCCCAUUCUGAGGUUGGAUUUUGCACUUUCUUAAGGAUAUUAUUUGUAGCAUAAGGCUUUUAAAUUUUGAAAAAAGAUAAAAAGUUUUCUUUGUUUCUUGUGCUUUGGGUGAUGUAUUCCAGAGAUAACAUUACAGUAUAAAAAACAAAGAGCUCUCAGGUAUAGCAGGGAUACACUGGCAUACAUUUGAGGCAAAAAGAAGGGAAAGGCUACAUGCUAAUUAAACUAAUUCACUUUAUCAUGUAGAUCUGUUUUUACUGAUUUUAUUUUUAUUUAUUUAUUUAUUUAUUUUGAGACAGAGUUUCACUCUUGCCCAGGUUGAAGUGCAGUGGCGCAAUCUUAGCUCACUGCAACCUCUGCCUCCCAGGUUCAAGCGAUUCUCCUGCCUCAGCCUCCUGAGUAGCUGGGAUUACAGAUGUGCACCACCAUGCCUGGCUAAUUUUUGUAUUUUUAGUAGAGAAGGGGUUUUCCCAUGUUGGUCAGGCUGGUCUUGAACUCUGGACCUCAGGUGAUCCACCCACCUUGACUCCCAAACUGCUGGAAUUUUACAGGCAUGAGCCACCCUGCCCAGACUACUGAUUUUACUUUUAAAAGACUUCUAUGGUUACACAUAUUUUAAAUUUAUGCAAAUAUUUUGUUUGUACAUAUUAUAUCUUCAUUUGAGGAGAAAAAGAAGUGUUACCAAUGCUGUUUUAUAGAUUUAAAAGCAUGCUCUAAAUUAACUGUGAUUUAAACAGGGCUUCCCUGUAUAGAACUUAAAGUCCUUCCCUCAUUUUUGUUUUUGUUUCAUAAUAUUCUUAUACAUGAGGAUGAUGAUCUACCACUUGUCCAAACUGUCCUUGGUGGUAAGCUCACUGAGAAGGCUUAGCCCUAUCACUUAUAGAUGACUAUAAGUGCUCAACUUCUUCAUGAUUUGUAGAAGUGGAUCAGACUAGGCAAGAUCAAGACUUGUGCAAAUUAAAUGGGAAAAUUAACAUAAAAAUUAGACUCUUAAACAUUCAAGAGAUUUGCUUUAAUAAGAUUGAGGGCUACCUAUUUUGUUUGUGUCAAUGAUCCUGUGAGGCUAGGCAGCUGAAUGAAGUUAUUUCCAAUUCUUUGUACUAGAGUACAUAUGUUACUCAGUAACAGCUAUCAAGGCAAAAGUAUUAUUUUUUUCUGAAUAAAUAAGAAAUCAAGGCUGGGAGUGGUGGCUCAUGCCUGUAAUCCCAGCACUUUGGGAGGCUGAGGUGGGCGGAUCACUUGAGGCCAGGAGUUUGAGACCAGCCUGGCCAACAUGAUGACACCCUGACUCUACUAAAAAUACAAAAAUCAGCCAGGCGUGGUGGCGCACACCUGUAAUCCCAGCUACUCAGGAGGCUGAGGCAGGAGAAUUGCUUGGACCUGGGAGGCGGAGGUUGCAGUGAGCCAAGAUCGUGCCACUGCACUCCAGCCUGAGUGACAGAGCCAGACCCUGUUUCAAAGAAAGAAAUCAGUGUUUGUUUAGAGUUUGAAAGUUAUGAUCUCUUGUUGCUGAAUGGACUUGUGAAAUUCUGCACUAUCAGAAAUGGAGUCUGUAUUCAAAAAUAGUGGGGAUAAGGGCUGUCGUCUCAGCUGUUUUCUGUUGCUUUAACAGAAUAUCACAGAAUGGGUAAUUUUUAAUGAACAUAAAUGUAUUUGGCUUACAGUUCUGGAGGCUGGAAGGUCCAAGAGCAUGGCACUGGCAUCUGGCAAGGGUCACCCCCCUGGCAGAAGGUGAGAGAGAGAUAGAAGCAAGGACAUGAGACAUAGAGAAAAUCAGGCUGAACUCAUCACUUUGUCAGGAAAUCACUCCCACAAUAAUGAACCUACUCCUGCAAUAAUGGCAUUCAUCCAUUCAUGAGAGUGGGGCCCUCAUGACCUAAUCACCUCUUAAAGGCCCCACCUCUUAGUACUGUUAAGUUGGCAAUUAAAUCUCCAACACAUGAACUUUUGGGGGAUGCAUUCAAACAAUAGCAGCUGUAUUAGUCUGGGUUCUACAGAGAAAAAGAACCAAUAGACAAUAUGUAAAAUAGGGAAUUGGUUCACAUGGUUAUAGAGGGCAGAGAAUUCCCAAGAUCUGCAGUUGGCAAGCUAUACUUCCAGGGGAGCUGUUAGUAUAGUUCCAGUCUGGGUCCAAGUGCCUGAAAACCAGGUGAGAUGAUGAUGUUAGUUCCAGUCUGAGUCCAAGUCUGAAAGUAGGAGAAGACUGAUAGCUUAGCUUGAAAACAGGCAGAGAGAAAUAAUUUUCUCUUAUUUUGACUUUUUGUUUUAUUUGGACUUUUAUUAGAUUGGAAGAGGCCCACCUGUAUUGAGGAGGGCAGUCUACUUCACUUAGUCUAUGAAUUCAGAUAUUAACCUUAUCCAGAAACACCCUCAUAGACUCACCUAGAAUAAUGUUAACCAAGUAUCAGGAUACCUCAUGGCACAGUCAAGUUGACACAUGCAAUUAACCAUCACAAGGGUGUUGUAAUGGCUUAGCUCCAUGUGCCUACUUUGCAGUCUGUACUAAACUUCCUGGAAAAUAAUUUCUUAAAGCUAUAACCUUAAGGUACACAGUGAGGUGAUGUGAUUCCCAUAAAUUGCAAUCCCAUAAAAUUUAUUACUUAGGAUACAAAAAUAUUCUAAAGAAAGAACUGUUUCAAAGAGGCAGGAUAAAUUUUAAUCAGCUCUUGCUUUCAUACCUACUCUGCCAACCUCUCAGACCACUUCUUAUUAUAAAUUCACAUAAUUGGAGAAGGUUGAAACAGUGCCCAGGAUUCAGGAUAGUAUGUGAAGCUACUAAUCCUUUCAGUGAGCAAUUGGGCUUUCCUUCUGUACACAUUUGGGAGACAAGGUUCUCAUGGCAGCAAGUGCUAGUGGGCCUGAAUUUAAUUAUUACGAACUCUUGCAUUAGUAAGUGCAAAUGCAGCUCCAGCAGGCCAAGAAUACAGCCUUCAAUCUGUGCUCAUGCUUAAAAAUCACCAGGACCUUCAGACAUGAAGAACUCUUCAUGUUAUUAGUGUUGCCAUUUUGGAAAUGUCAAUGAUUGCUCAGAGUGUCCCAUGGAAGGUUUUGGCUCAGGGAUCUGAAGUGAGAAAAAUGGCAUUAGCUGUGUAAGCCCCCUUGUGUAGCUUGCAUGCUCUUUCUGCCUUCAUCUCCAUAUCUCUUAGGAAUAUUUUAAGCUCCUCUGGCAACUGAACAUACCUUCUAUUGACUGCAGGAUAUUAACAGGUUAUGCAAACAGAGAACCAAUGAAAUUAAUUGAAAGUAGAAAAGUUUAGUCAAACAAUUAUUUAGAGUCCAGGAGAGGGGGCUGGGAGGCAAUGGACAAUAGGGAACAGGCAUCACAAUAUCAGAUCAUAAGUUUUAAAAUUUAUUCUCCUCAGAGAACUUAUUGGAUGUGUGAACAGGUUUCUAUGAAACCAAAGCAGCCAACUGACAUGGUCGAUUCAGUCAAUUAGCACUGGCUUCUUUUCAGGCUUGUUCUCUGAGGUGCAUGUAAAUUAUGCAGGGUUCACUGCAGAAUUUUGAGCAGGUAAAAUCAUUGCACAGAGCAGUCUCUGCCCACUUUGCAGAAUUAGGAUCUGCAAAUCCUAAGACUAUGUAGUCUUAAUAAUUGCAGAAUAGUAAAUAAUUCCCAACUUUGUCAUGGGAGGGUUGGAAUAGAGAUGAAAUUCUUUCAGGUUUUGAAAACCCCAAACUGACACAAUAUGGAGCCAGAAGAGAAUGGGCUCAAUGAUCAUGAAUCCAGUUGUUAGCCUCUUUCAGCCAGAGAGAAACCUAGAAUAUGAGUAAAAAGGCUGAAACACUUACACAUUUUCUUGCAUGUGUUUAAACCAUGAGGUGAUGAUUUGUGACUAUCCCCAGUCUUCUGCCUCCUUCAGUCACAUGUCAACUCAUUUGCCUUGGGAUUCCCCUGUCAUUUUGUGCUUAUCAUUAUUAUCUCUACUUUUUAAAGCAGACAGUGUAGUUAUUUGAGCACUUGUCUUAAUUCAUUUUUCUUUUUGUAUGCAAGAAUGUUAAUAUUUAUCUUCUUAUAUUUUCUAUUCCCCAUACAGUAAAUUAUGCAUAUAUUUUGCAAAAAAAAUGAAUGAAUGUAUACCCAAUUCCAUUUGAACUAUAGUAGCCUGCAUGUAGAGCAAAAGGAAUGACCACAGCUCAUAGAGAAACAGUAUACUCAAGAAUGCUAGUAAAUUUAAAAAUAAAAAAAUCAUUAAAUUUUUUAUUUUAGGUUCAGGGCUACAUGUGCAGGUUUGUUAUAUAGGUAAUUAAUUUCGUGUCACGUGCAUUCAUUGUACAGAUUAUUUUGUCAUCCCAGUGCUAAGCCUAGUACCCAGUAGUUGUUUUUUUCUUCUCCUUUUACUCCUCCCACCCUCCCCCUACAGGUAGGAUCCAGUGUCUUUUUUCCCUCUUUGUGUCCAUGUGUUUUCAUCAUUUAGCUCCCACUUAUAAGUGAGAACAUAUGGUAUUUGGUUUUCUGUUCCUGUGUUAGCUUGCUAAGGAUGAUGGCCUCCAGCUCCAUCCAUUUUCCUGCAAAGGACACGAUCUUAUUCUUUUCUGUGGCUGCAUAGUAUUCCAUGGUGUAUAUGUGCCACAUUUUCUUUAUCCAGUCUACCUUUCAUGGGCAUUUAGGUUGACUUCAAGUCAUUGCUAUUACGCACAGUGCUGCAAUGAACAUAUGUGUGCAUGUGUCUUUAUGAGAAUGAAACAAUCAUUUUUUUAAACAAAGACUUUCAUCAUGAUACACAGAGGGACAUAGUUAUUCUUGGAAAUAUUGAACUAACAGUUCAUUAUGUGCAAGUUUAUAUGAUGGGAAGAAAAAUUCAAAAAUUUAACACUUUUGUUCUAAAUCAAUUGGCUUGGCAAAUAUCUCCUUUAUUGCAUGUCUUAAAUUUUGUCUUAUGAAACAUGCCAUGUGAACAAAAGGGUAUAUAAACUGUAUAUGUCCAGUUUGAAGAAUGAUAAUAAAAUAAACAUCCAUAUUCCCACCACCCUGGUUAAGAUAUAAAUGAUUACCAUAGAAGCCUCUUUGUGCUUUCUCUUCAGACAACCCAUCACGCACCCCUCUUCCCAGGCUCACAGACAUUAUUUCUACUUUUAACAAGGAUACAUCUAUGAAUAGGUAAUAAAUAAGGUAUUGUUUAGUGUUUUCUAGAUUGUAUAGGAUAAUUUUUUUGGAUGGAAAGAUUUAAUAUUAUAAAGAUGUCAGUUAUUUCCAGAUUAAACUAGAGACUCAGUAAGUUUCAAAAACAGUCUCAAGUAUUUUUAUGGAGUUUGAAAAUGUGAUUAUAAAAUUUAUAUAGAUAGAAAAGGGCCAGAAAGAGCCAAGACACUCUUGGAAAAGUGACAUAAGAUAUGUAUGGGUUGUGUGGGGAGCUUGCCCUACCAGAUAUCAAGACUUAUUGUAAAGCUAGAGUAGUUAAGAUCUUGUAGCACUGGGUGCAGACAUGGACAAGACCCACAGGACAACAGAAACACAAACAGAGCCAUAAUUAUAUGACAACUUGAUAUAUGACAGAAGCUGCAUUGCAGACCACAAGGAAAUCAUUAUUCAUACAAACAAAAAUGAAAUUGCAUCUCUACUUCAAACUAUAUAUAAUACUACAUUCCUAUUAAGGAUAAAUAUGAAAGUUAAGAAAGUCAAAACCAUAAACAUUUCAGAAGAAAAUACAGGAGAAUAUCUUUAUGGGGUCUGGUUGUGAAUGACUUUUUCCACAAGAUUAAUAAAAAAGGACAAAUAUAAAGGAAAAGGUUAAUACAUUCAACUGCAUUAAAAAAUAAGAACUUCUGUUCAUUGGAAGACACCAUAAAGAGAGUAAAAAGACAAACCAUAAACUGAGAAAAGAUAUCUUUCAAAAAAAUGUAAUCAACAAAGAUUUAGUAGCCUAAACAUAUAAAGACCUCCUAUGAAUCAUUAGGCAAAAGUUAAACAACUAAAUUUAAAGAUGGUCAAAAAGCAUGAAUAUAAAUUUCAAAGAAGGAAUCUAUAACCCAUAAACAGAUGAAAAGAUGCUUAGGCCAGGUGUGGUGGCUCAUGCCUAUAAUCCCAGCACUUUGGGUGGCCGAGGCAGAUGGAUCACCUGAGGUCAGGAGUUUGAGACAAGCCUGGCAAACAUGGUGAAACCUCGUCUCUACUAAAAAUGCAAAACUUAUCUGAGCAUGGUGGCACGUGCCUGUAGUCCCAGCUACUCAGGAAGCUGAGGCAGGAGAGUUGCUUGAACCUGGGAGGUGGAGUUUGCAGUGAACCAAGAUCGUGCCACUGCACUCCAGCCUGGGAGACAGAGCCAGGCCCUGUCUUAAAAAAAAAAAAAAAAAAAAAGAAAAGAAAAGAUGCUCAACUUUGUUAGUAUUCAGUGAAAUGCAAAUUGAAAUCGCAAUGAGACUGCAUUUCAUCUCUACCAGAUUGGCAAAAGUUAAUAGAAGGUUUCUCUCUACCAAGCUUUUGUAAAAAUGUGGAGAAACAAAACAGGAUCUCUCAUCCACUUCUGGUAGAGUAUAAACUGGUUCAAAACAAUGUGACACUGCUUAAUCAAUUUAAAAGCACUAUAUUACUUUAUUAAUAGAAAUAGAUGGCAGGGAAGAGGGGAAGUCCUUGGAAUUAUCAUUAGAUGUUCAUAGAAGUCAGACUGUACUGAGAAGGAAGAGAGGAAGAUCACGGUUCAUUCUUUGCUGGGAGAAUUCUCAACAGCUUUUCUGAAGCUUGGCAUUUUUGCAUGGAUCAAUUUGUUUCUUAGGGAAACGUGAAACUUCGUCAUAUCUGAGAAAUCUUUGGUGCUAACAGCUGAUUUAUAGAAUUCAAGUAAACAACUUAUUUUAAAUGUUAAGUCUUCCACAGCAUAGAUCUGCACACCAUUUGCAGGAGCUGUAUUUGUGGUUUUAGGGUUGUAUAAAGUUAGAAGCAGCAAGGAUCUUAUAGGUUGUGCUGUUGUGCUGUCUAAAAGCUCUGAUCACUUGUCCCAGAUGGGUGAGGAAUUGCAGGCCUUGUCUAGUGGGUUAUAGAUACCUUUGGUUACCAUGGUUUAGAGUCAUCUCUUCAGUCACAUUGCCUGAGUUACAAUUUGAGCUCUUCCAAAAGACCUUAAAACAGCAGUUUGGAUCUAUAUUUCUAGUAGCAAAUGUAGGAACAAAAGAACCGCAAAAAAAAAGAAAAAAUUCUUAAAGUGAUCAUCAUACUCAUAUUAUCCGCAAUAGUUUUGGUACUGUCAUUCUUGUGACUAUUGUGUAUAGAGUAGAGUAAAUUAAAAAAGUGAUUGUGUGAUCGGCGGAUUCUUUCCUUGCUGGUGUCAUUGAGAACAAAAACCACUAAGGUUUUGUCAAAAGGUUUCAGGAGACAACUUGAGUUUGGCCAAUUAUAUAACACGUGAACAUCAAUAAAGAUAACUGUAAUAAAUUUAAAUACACAUAUAAUGAAAUCCAUGAAUUUACCAUGAAACUGUUUAUAACAGUUCUGAGAAAACAAACACAUCUGCUCACCACAGAAGAAUGCUAAUGAAUUCACUCGUCACUUUGAAAACUGAUACAUAAAGGGAAAGGAUCAAUAUUUAUUUUGACGUUCCCAUGAACUAUAUCAUUGGAUAAUUGAAUAAUAGAUAUAGGGAAACAAUCUUUAUAGAAAUAUCUCUGCUAAUAAAAUAAGAAUGAUGCAAUUAGACUAUUAUCGUAUGGCCUCUCCUGAUAAACUGCUGGAUCUAGGCACUGAACAUAAUGCAGUUAACAUUAUAAAAAGAGAAAUAACCAGCCAUUACAUACCACUAACUGAAGAGUGCACCACUGCUUCUAAAGUAGUCUUCCUAAAAAAUCAAGCCUGAGUCUGAUCAAUUCCCUACAACUGCCUGGCAAUACAGGAAAUUCAAAAGAUGAAGGAAUAUAUUUAACAACAGCAAGGAGAUGUAAUCAGUGGAAUCCAGUCUAUUGGAAGUUGCACAAGGCAAGUGACCUAGUUUCCUUAAAAAUAAAUUACGAGAAAAAAAAAACAGAGAAAGAGGGCACUUAUAAAUUCAAGAGACAUCAACCAAUUGGAAAAUGUGGACCUCAUUUAGAUCUUGAUUCAAACAAGCAGGCUCUAAACGCCAAACAAAAGCACUAGCUUUCCUGUGGCUAAUUAGACGCCUAUUUAAAAAUGUACAUUUACUUAUUCCCUCUAAGCCUCAGUUUCCUCAUCUAUAUAGUGGAGACAAUAAAUAUACCUUCUUUAUAGGGCUUAAUUGAAAUGAAUGAAAUCAUGUUUGUAAAACACAAUGCCUAGUACAUUGUAAGGACUCAAUAAAUACUAUUAUUAUCACCAAAGUUGGUGUUAGAAGCUUGAUAAGCAGUUUAGUAUAUGAUUAUCAUAUUUGAAAAUUGAAAAAUUAAAAAAAAAAGAGACAAGUUGGUAAGCCAAACAGGUUGGCAAGGGGGUAGCUGGUGUAUAAGCAAGAUAGAUAUAAGUUGUAAGAAAGUGAGAAUGAGGAAUACUUGUCCAGAGUUCUGGAAUUAUCCACAGCCUUCUAACCAAGUGCUCAGAGACUCUGGUGUGGGUUUGUCAAGAGUAGAGAACAUGACUACCAAGGAGUGAACACACCCUGCAAUGCGUUACUCACUAAGGCUGGGAUUUGCUCAAGGCCUCACUUCCAGACUGUGGCAGAGCUGCGACUCAAAUCCAGAUUUCUUGACUGCUGAGUUCAGUGCUCUUUUUUCUCCACCACACCCCAUCAUCACAUACAUAUUUUAUUAAGGUCAAAAUGACAAAGAAAGUAGAGGUUUGGGUGUGAAGAACAAAUUCUGAUUUGUUUGCAAUAUUGUUAGAAGUGCUCCUGGAAUAGGAAAACAUAGUAAAGGAUGCAAAAAGAGGGAGUAGACAAUUUUGCAUUUUUCUCCUAUGCUACUUUUAUAUCUUUUAAGAUAUAAAAGACCAGAUGAAAGUUGCCAGAUGAAACUCUAUGUAUGUAAUUGAUGCAAUAGGAAUAAAAUCACAUACAAUAUCCUGAAAAUAGCCUUGUGAAUAUAAUAAUAAUAUUAUUGUGAUCAUCUUUCAGUUGAGGAAACGGGAUUAGCAAAGUUAAAUAUCAGUUGAAAUCACACAAGCAGAAGGGGGCACAGCUAGGACUUAAACCUAGCCAGCUGUCCGUUCCACCUUCACUGAGGUAACACAUAGCCUUAUAAAAGGGAAAGAGUUCUGGUAUUUUUAUGAAUAGAGAAGUAAAAUAUUACUCAUCCUUAAAAGAAACUGGAGUUUUUUUUAAGUGUUUCUCCUUGAUUUCCUUUGAGAGUAUGAUUUUUAAACCAUGAAAUAAAAUAUUCCUUAAGGGCAAAGUAAUAGUUUCAAUAAGAUUUCAGUUAUUCCUGCUUUAAGUGCUCUGUGCACCUAUUAUUUCUUUAAGGGCCUACCCAUUAAAUAAAUCUCAUUAAACACACUACCAGUAUUACAAUUACUUUUCUCAUUAUUUGCUGUUAUUACCAUUAUGGAAAUCAUAUAUAAAAAUUCUAGAAAAUUGUCUUUUCUGGUUGUUAAAAUAAAACAUUGUAUUUUAGGGAUGUCAUUUUGUGUUUGAAACUUGAUUUUAAGCUACAUGUGAGUUAAGAAACUAGAAGGGAUGAAGUCUAGACUGACCAGUGUUCAGAAACACGGAAAUAAUUUUACCAUGACUGCUAAGUCUUUGUCUCAAGAUAAGUCAUUUUAUUCUCACUUGUGGUUAAAGAGAACUUUACAGAGAAAAACUGUAGACAGACUAUAGAUGUUACGUCUCUCAAGGCAUUUCUUCUCAUCGUCUUUUUCUUAGAAGACCAUCAAAUAGCAAAGUCAUGAAAUCAACCUAGGUACCCAUCAACAGUGGAUUGGAUAAAGAAAAUGGGGUGCAUGCACAAUGCAAUGCUUUGUAGUCAUAGAAAAGAAUAGAAAAGAACGCAGCUGGAGGCCAUUAUCCUAAGUGAAUUAACACAGGAACAGAAAACAAAAUACUGUAUGUCCUCACUUAAAAGCAGGAGCUAAACAUUGGGUACUCAUGAACAUAAAGAUGGCAACAACAGACACUGGGGACUCCUAAUGGGAGGGAGGGAGGUGAGUAUUAAAAAACAGUUGGGUAAUAUGCUCAGUACUUGGGUGACAGGAUCAUUUGUCCCCCAAACCUCAGCAUCAUGCAGUAUACCCAGGUAACAAACCUGCACAUGUACCCCCUAAAUCUAAAAUAAAAGUUGAAAAAAAAAAAAGACCAUCAAAACUUUAAGAGACAUUUUUUGGCUUUGCUUUUUUGCUUUGGCCUGAUGAUGUUACAGAAUCCCCCAGGGUGCAAGAGAAAAACCUUAAUUAUAGAAUGAGAAUUAGAGAAGAUUGUUUUGAUUUAUUUAUUUAUUUAGAGAUGGAGUUUCGCUCUUGAUGCCCAGGCUGGAGUGCAGUAGCACAAUCUCGGCUCACUGCAACCUCCACCUCCCGAGUUCAAGCGAUUCUCCUGCCUUAGCCUCCUGAGUAGCUGGGAUUACAGGUGCCCGCUGCCACACCUGGCUAAUUUUGUAUUUUUAAUAGAGACAGGGUUUCUCCAUGCUGGUCAUGCUGGUCUUGAACUCCUGAUCUCAGGUGAUCUGCCUGCCUCGGCCUCCCAAAGUGCUGGGAUUACAGGCAUGAGCCACCACGCCUGGCUGAGAAGAUUGUUUACAUGGGAGAGAAACUCUUCCAAGAUUCUUUUUGAUAGCUCAUGGAUCACUACUAUUUACAAAAAAAAAAUACUGUUUUUUUUUGUCUCUUACUUUUGUACAUCUUCAUGCUAUCUAACAAGCCCUUUUUUGUUUUUUGAGAUAAAGUUUCGUUCUUGUCCCCCAGGCUGGAGUGCAAUGGCACAAUCUUGGCUCACCGCAAUCUCUGCCUCCCGGGUUCAAGCGAUUCUCCUGUCUCAGCCUCCCGAGUAGCUGGGAUUACAGGCAUGUGCCACCAUGCCUGGCUAAUCUUUGUAUUUUUAGUAGAGAUGGGGUUUCACCAUGUUGGUCAGGCUGGUCUCGAACUCCUGACCUCAAGUGAUCCACCUGCCUUGGCCUCCCAAAGUGUUAGGAUUACAGGCGGGAGCCACUGCGCCCAGCCAAACCAUUUUUUGUGCUAUAUAUUUCCAGGGAUUGAUGUAGACUGAAUCCUCAAGUCUUGGCACCUCUGCACGAUUGAGAUUUGUCAUGGAUGGUUCAGAAAUAAUUUAAAAACAUCAACCUAUGUCAUAUUGGGAUCAAGUUUACGAAAGGGAUCUAUGGAUGUGAAUGAAAAGUACUUUAAUUCUAUCAUGAUUAAAUAUCUUUAACUCCCAGAUCAUUGUCACUUCAGCCUAAAAAGUCAGUGUAGGACUUUUCACAAAAUAACAUUACUCACAGAAUUCCAACUUGUCAUAGGUAUUACAAGUAUCAUUGAAUCCUCUGGGUAAUAAGACCUAGUGCCAGAGCCAUUGGCACUGCAGCCUGUACCAGCUACAGACUUUCUUUAAUUCUGGACUCCAGUGCAAAGUUUCAUCCUUGAUAAAUGAAUCAGAGCAACACACUCAAAUAUGCCGUCUGUUGAUUUCAAAAUUGGCUCACUCAAGUAUCAGGCCUCUUCUGUAUUAAAUUUUUUAAAAAAUGCUUUCAUUUUUAUAGAUUCAGGGGGUACGUGUGCAGGUUUGUUAUAUGGAUAUAUUGCAUAGCAGGAGUGGGGUUUGGGCUUCUAGUGUAUUCAUCAACUGAAUAGUGAACAUUGUACCCAAUAAGUAAUUUUUCAACCCUCACCCUCCUCCCACCUUAUCCCCUUUUGGAGUCCCCAGUGUCUAUUAUUUCCCUCUGUAGGUCCACGUGCACACAUUGUUUAGCUCCCACUUACUAGUGAGAACAUGCGAUAUUUGAUUUUCUGUUUCUGAGUUAUUUCACUUAGGAUAAUGGCCUCUGGUUCCCUCCAUGUUGCUACAAAAGACAUGAUUAAAUUUUUAUGGCUGUGUCAUGGUGUAUUAUGUAUGAUGUAUUUUCUUUAUCUAAUCCACUGUUGAUGGAUACUUGGGUUGAUUCCAUGACUUUGUUAUUGUGAAUAGUGCUGUGAUAAACAUACAAGUGCAGGUGUCUUUUUGAUAUAACAGUUGAUUUUCCUUUGGAUAGUACCCAGUAGUGGGAUUGCUGGAUCAAAUGGUAGCUCUAUUGUUAGUUCUUUGAGAAAUCUCUACACUGUUUUCCAUAUAGGUUAUACUAAUUUACAUUAGCACCAGCAGUGUCUAAAUGUUCCCUUUUCUUGCUAGUAUCUGCUAUUUUUUGUGUUUUUAAUAAUAGCCAUUCUGACUGCUGUGAGAUGGUAUCUCAUUUUGGUUUUAUUUGCAUUCCUCUGAUUAUUAGUGAGGUUGAGCAUUUUUUCAUAUGUUUGUUGUGGGCCUCUUUUGUACUGAUAGGGGGUAUAUGGUAGAGCAACUUGUCUUUCACUUUGGAGACGAUAUCCAGCCCAGACUACUGGACUUCCGGAAAGUUCACCGAGUUGAAUCUUCUUGGAGUUUAUUGCCCAUCCUCUGUUACAACUAUGUCUUGCCAAGGCAUUUAGGCGGCCUGCUACUUCUUGCUCACCAGGUUCUAUCAGUAUUAUGUAAUUGGUGGAGCAGUCCAGCAUGACAUUCUAUGAGAUGGUAAGACAACCGAGGUCCCUGUGAACAAAAUUAUAGCCAAAGAUUGGAUAGCUGAUGUGGCCCUGAAGCAAGAGAGUGAAAUUAUACUCCUGACUGAAAAGUGCAAGGAAACCACUUCUAAAAAUUUCUGCUUCAUACUUUAGAAAACAAAGCAUUUUCGAGAUGAGCACUGCAUGCCAGGUGCUUCAGUAUGUAUUGGUUUGCUCUAGUAAAAAGACUACAUCUGGCAAGUGCAGUGGUUCCUACCUGUAAUCCCAGCACUUUGGGAGGCCAAGGUGGAAGGAUCUCAUGAGGCUAGGAGUUCAAGACCAGCCUGGGCAACGUAGCAAAACUCUCUCCAUAAAUAAAAAAUUAGCUAAGUGUGGUGGCACAUGUCUAUAGUGCCAGCUACUUGGGAGGCUGGGGUAGGAGGAUCACUUGAAUCCAGCAGUUUGAGACUGCAGUGAGCCAUAAUCACACCACUGCUCCAGCCUGGGUGACAGAGUGAGACCCUAUCUCAAAAAUAACUAACUAACUAAAUAAAUAAAUAAAUAAAUAAAUAUAAAAGAGACUACAUCUGGAAUAAAAGAUUAAUUUUCUGAUUGAGUUUGUGAUAAUUUACCAUUCUUCUUCAAGACCUUUCUGUCUUUUUAUUAUUUUUUAUUUUUUUUGAGACGGAGUCUCGCUCUGUCACCCAGGCUGGAGUGCAGUGGUGCGAUCUUGGCUCACUGCAACCUCCGCCUCCCAGGUUGAAGCGAUUCCCCUGCCUUAGCCUCCCAUGUAGCUGGGAUUACAGGUGCCUGCCACCAUGCCUGGCUAAUUUUUGUUUUUUUAGUAGAGACAGGGUUUCACUAUGCUGGCCAGGGUGGUCUUGAACUCCUGAUCUUGAGUGAUCCGCCUGCCUUGGGCUCCCAAAGUGCUGGGAUUACAGGUGUGAGCCACUGUGUCCAGCCAAGACCUUUCUGUCUUUUGUGAAAGCCAAUCCAAGAGUCAAAUGGGGAUGCUAAGAAUGAUCAUUUCUGCAUCUUUCAAGUUUUUGACAUUAGCGGUAAUUUCUGCAGCUCCCCAGGAAUGUGGUUUUGGUUCCAGUUUACUAUCGUCAUAGGGAUAUGGGGCUCUACAGCCCUCCUUUAGGCUCUGCCUGCACACUAGUCAUCAUGCCAUAGACCAGGAACCCAUGUAGAAACCCAUGUAGAUGUUCCAGUGGUUGCUGAGCAUGUAUAGUUCAACUAUCUAUUCUUGGGGAAAAUAACCACAGAAAGGAUUUGCAUAUUAAGUGAGCCCUUUAUGAAACAGACUGAGGCAAAAACUUAUUAUACAACCUACAUAAGCACUGGUAGAUAUCAGGAUAUUCUUGGGGAUAAAAAAUAGCUCUGAACCAGUGUCCAAUAAUCCCUGAAAGGUCUGGUUGUAUUACUGAGCAAAACAGGCUCACUGCUCGAUGCUCUAGAAGCCUGUACUAUGACACCACGGUUUUGAGAAAAGAAAAGCUUUUUAUUGCAAGUCGACUCACAAGGAGACAGGAGUCAAGCUCAAAUCUAUCUCCCUGUGCUGGUUUCACAGCAGUAAUUUUAUUAGAAAAGGUUUAGGGGCUGGAUUCUGGGAUUAGCAGGUGAUUGGUGGAAGGAAAGAGGUCUAGAAAGUCCUCAGGCAUGUAUAGCCAUCUCUUCUUGCCUCCUUAUUGGUCUCAUGUGUAAAUUUGGAGGGAGCUGGUAUGAAGCAUGGAAAUUCAGGCUAUGAUGUCAGCAAGUUUGUUUUGUGCAAACUUAUGCAGCUAUAGUGGUUUCAACUGAUUUCAGCCAGUUUUGUUAUCUUACAAAGGAGAGAAGUUUCAGUGUUUCAGCAAGUUGUUUCUUUUCUUAUCUGCCAUCCUGCAAACUCAAGAAUUUCUACUAGUUUUUUUUUUUUUUUUAACUUUGGGGCACAGUUUCAGUCAUUCCCUUUUCUCCUGGGUACAGUCAUUCCAGGAAGUGGUGGCACUUUCCUUUGGGGAAGAGCAGACAAUUUACAAAACAUAAUAUUGCAUGGACCUUCCUCCAUGGUGCAAUCUUCUCUUUAUUCAUGUGCCUCUGGGAAAUGAUUAGUUCUGGAAUUAGAUGAAGGUCUCAAAUCAUCUAUUUUCCUGGUUUACAGUUUCAGUUCAGUUAUAGAAAUCAAUUAGGAUGUUAGAGGAUAGGCCAUUUAUUUGGAUUCUAGGGACCUUGUAAUCAGUUAUCCACUGUCAAACCAUUCUGAUUACCAUGAGCCUUGCUGCCUGGUAUGGUGACUAUGUCUGCUCUACUUCUGGCAGUUAGGUAGUGAUAUUUAUCCUCUGCCUGGCCUCAAUCCCAUCAUCUCCAUGGAAAUAAGAGAGCUCAUUACAAUGGCAGUAUCUCUCAACCUUAUCCAUGGCCAAUGGAGUGAAGCCAACAUAGCACUUUUCAAGAAUCGCAGGGCUUCCCAACUAUGUAUUUCUCAAAACUGAGGUGAAUAGACAAUUCUCAAAAGAAGAUAUACAAAUGGCCAACAAACAUAUCAAAAAAUGCUCAACAUCACUAAUGAUCAGGGAAAUGCAAAUCAAAACCAGUGUGAUACCACCUUACUCCUGCAAGGAUGGCCAUAAUAAAAAAGUCAAAAAACAGUAGAUGUUAGCAUGGAUGCAGUGAUCAGGGAACACUUCUACACUGCUGGUGGGAAUGUAAACUAAUAAAGCCACUAUAGAAAACAGUGUGGAGAUUCUUAAAGAACUGAAAGUGGAGCUACCAUUUGAUCCAGCAAUCCCAAUAUUGGGUAUCUACCCAGAGGAAAAGAAGUCAUUAUACAAAAAAGAUACAUGCACACGCAUGCUUAUAGCAGCACAAUUCACAACUGCAAUAAUUCUGAAAGGUCUGGUUGUAUUACUGGGCAAAAGGGGCUCACUGCCCAAUGCUCUAGAAGCAUGGAACCCACCUAAAUGCCCGUAAAUCAACAAGUGGAUAAAGAAACUCUGGUAUAUAUAUAUAUACACAUACACACACACACACACACACACACACACACACACACACACACACACCAUGGAAUGCUAUUCAGCCAUAAAAAGGAAUGAGUUAAUGGCAUUUGCAGUGACCUGGAUGAGAUUGGAGACUAUUAUUCUAAGUGAAGUAACUCAGGAAUGGAAAACCAAACAUUGUAUAUUCUCACUGAUAUGUGGGAGCUAAACUACAAGGAUGCAAAGGUAUGAGAAUGAUACAAGGGAAUCCAGGGACUUGGCGUGAAGGGAGGGAGGAGGCGAGGGAUAAAAGAAUACAAAUAGGGUGGAGUGGAUACUGCUUGGGUGAUUGGUGGACCAAAAUCUCACAGAUCACCACUAAAGAACUUACUCAUGUAAUCAAACACCACCUGUACCCCAAUAACCUAUGGAAAAAAAAAACUGUGAUGAAAGGAGAGCCUGCUGACCCUACUAGGAUGGGUAAGCAAGUCACUUGUGAUAAAUCCAUUUCCGUACAUUUCCUCCCUCUUUAUCAUGUCCAGGAAUUUCUACUAUCUUACUAUUGUUUUGUGUAGACCACACUGAGUCUAUGUUUCAGCCAACUGGAACAUACAUAUGAUAGAAGUGGAGAACAAGGAAGACUGCCAUCCAUUUGUUGGUAGCUGCCACAGGCAAUGUUGUUUUAGGGUAUUUGAGCAAGGCAUGGCCAGACAGUUCUCCCACCAGACUGGGAGAACUCACAUUUUCUACUGAUAAGGGGGCUCAUUAGUCUUUCGAAUUUAUAGAAAAUGAAGUUAUUAAAUUCUGCCAAAUAUUGUCAUUUAAAUUAUCGGGUGCCACACUUUUGCAGUCUUUCAUGUAAGAAAUGUGUUGAAACUGGAAUUUAAGCCAAGAAAUAUCUAGCAUCCUGUGGGAUAAGUGUCAGUUUGAUUUGAGCUUAUGUAAAGCCCAUAGCCAGAAGACAUGAGAUACAUUUAGGGCAUAGAAGCUAUAGGUUUUUUGACCAUGCUUUGAAAAUGAUACCCAGGAGGGCCUAGAAUAACAUCAUUUUGUUCAAUGUUCUGUCCAAAGUUGUAUCAUUAUAAUGUUGUUGAAAGAAAGUUGGUUACAUUUUAUGGUAUUUUAUUGCAAGUUCCAAGAACCUAUUGAUGACCACAAGUGAAGGCUUACUGUAUAUGUAUAUUACAUUAUUAUUUUGCCCAUUGCCCACCUCCAACCCACUAAUGCGAGAAUAAGAAAUUGUUAUCUCUUUUCUUCACACCUGUAUACUCUGCUCAGAAAAGCACUUGGAUCACAGUAGGUACUCAAUAAAUAGUUGGUGAAAUAAUGAAUAAAUAGUCCUUGUUUUUAUGAUGUUUAUAUCAAAUGGAGGAGAAAGACAUUAAACAUUCAUAUAUAAUCUCUUAAUUAAAAUCUAAAUUUGAAUCUGUUCUAAGUUGUGUUGAAUUGUUCUAUUGUCAAUUUGAUUAACCUAGAAAUUAUUUUUUCCAGAAUUCCUUUCUCUGUGGGUCGUGGACCCACAGAGGCAAGCUCCCCUUUGCUGUCACUUUAGCAGCUUAACAUAUUUGGUUUCUUGGAUUUCCUUGGAGGCUCUUUCUCACCUAUGCCAUUGCUUAAGGAGAACUAAUUAAUAACUUUUUUUUUUCUUUUUUUAGACAGAGUCUCACUCUGUCGCCCAGGUUGUAGUGCAAUGGUGCAAUCUCGGCUCACUGCAACCUCCGUCUCCCAGGUUCAAGCGAUUCUCCUGCCUCAGCCUCCUGAGUAGCUGGGAUUAUAGGCGCCUGCCACCACGCCUGGCUAAUUUUUGUAUUUUUAGGAGAGACAGGGUUUCAUCAUGUUGGCCAGGGUUUCAUCAUGUUGGCCAGGGUGGUUUCAAACUCCUGAUGUCAAAUGAUCCUCCUGCCUUGGCCUCCCAAAGUGCUAGGAUUACAGGCGUGAGCCACCAUGCCUGGCCAAUAACUCUUUUCUAAUCCUCCAAUUACCCACUUCCAGAAUUCACAUAAGUCCCACCUUUAAUUAUGUAAUGUCUAAUUCCUAUUCUAAAUGCUUUAUCCCAUAACACUCAUAGCCAAUUCUUUCGGGAGAUAAACUAAGAAAUCAGCAAUCUUUCAAAUCCUGUGUAGAAAAUAGUCUGUGUUGAAUUUUUUGAGAGUGGUAUGUCUGUCUCAAGUACAGCAAUUCCUGAAAUAUUUUCUUGGGUACUUUUGACUAUUUGCCUCUUUUGCCUGACAGACUGAUACUAGAUAUUCAUCUCCAUGCAAGAGGGAAAAUGUGAUGUAGCUGAGUGGGUGAGAUCAUUUAUGAAAAAGAAUAUUGGGAGAAAUGAGAGCCUCUAUGACAAAUCCUUGAGACACUCCAAAACUUCUUUACCAGACAAUGAAGAAUAAAUUUGAAAAGCAGGCGCAGAGUGGCUAGAGAGGCUGAAGGAGAGGCAGGAAGGUGUUGUGUCUUGAAAGUCAAGGAAAUGUUGUGAAGGGUGGUGUAGAAACUUAUGCUUCAGUAACUUCGACAUAUUAGUUUUUUUUUGCAAGAGUAUACCUUCAAAUUAAAAAAGAUAAGAGUUUUCAUUAAGAAAGUUUUAUUCCAUAGUUGGACUGUCAUAAAGUGAGGAAAUCUUCAAGGUUCAAAGAAAAGAAAAAGAAGAAAACAAUGUAAGCUUAAACUAAAAUGGUGAACAAAGAACAUAUUUAAAGAGAUCUCCCACAGGGCUUUUACACAAUGUGCAUAGCUUUUCUUUGUAAAUAUGUUUCCCUGAGAAAUGUUAAUAUAUCCUUAGGCUUAUAGAAAAAGUGCUUCAGGCAAGUGACAAAAUGAGGGAAUGGAACUCAAGACUUCCAGAUGUAACCCAUGAAAUUGGGAAUGAACUGGAAUGAUCUCAGAUAGGUAGAACCGUUGGCUUUAGGAGAAGCAAAACGAAAUACUAUCCAGAGAAAUAUAUUCUCAAUGGAGACUCCAGGUUUUCCACAAGUUAAAAUCAACCAUUGUAAUUGUUAACCCCCUUAGCCCAACUUGACUGGUCGAAAAGAUACCCAGAUAGUUGGUAAAACAUUAUAUCUGGAUACAUCUGUGAGGAUAUCUCCAGAAGAGGUUGACAUUUCAAUCAGUAGAUGAAGUAAAGAAGAUCCGCAUUCACUAAUGUGAGCAGGAAUCAUCCAAGCUUUUAGGGGCCCAAAUAGAACAAAAAAGGUGGAGGAAGGGCAAAUUUUUUACUGGCUUGAGCUGAGAAAUCCAUCUUCUCCUGCCCUUGGACACCAGUGCUCCUGGUUCUUGGGCUUUCAGACAUAGAUUGGGAUCUACACCAUUGGCCUCCUGAUUUUCAGGCCUUCAGACUUGGACUGAGUUACACCACUAGCUUUCCUGGUUCUCAACUUGCAGACAGCAGAUUGUAGAACUUCCUGGCCUCCAUAACUAAUAUGUUUUUGCUGUGUCCCCACCCAAAUCUCAUCUUGAAUUGUAAUCCAAAUUGUAAUCCCCACCUGUCAAGGGAGGGACCUGGUGAGAGGUGAUUGGAUCAAGGGGGCAGUUUCCCCCAUGGUAUUCUCAUGAUAGUGAGUAUGUUUUCAUGAGAUCUGGUUGUUUGAUAAGUAUCUAGAACUUCCCCCUUCUCUCUCUCUCUCUCUCUCUCUCUCGCUCUCCUGGCACCUUGUGAAUAAUGUACUUCUCCUUUGCCUUCUGCCAUGAUUGUAAGUUUCCUGUAGCCUUCCCAGUCAUGCAGAACUGUGAGUCAAUUAAACCUCUUUCCUUUUAAAUUACCCAGUCUCAGGCAGUUCUUUAUAGCACUGUGAAAACAGACUAAUGCAGAAACUGUGUGAACCAAUUUCCAUAAUAACACUCCUUAUGUGUGUGUGUGUGUUCACAGACACAGAUAUACCCCAUUGUAUCCCAUUGGUUGUGUUUCUCCAGAGAAUCCUGAAUAAACAACCAUCAUGAGCUCACAAAUCAUCUUGAGGGAGAGAAACAACAGAUUUAAUUCCUCAAGAAUUUUAGGUAAUAAAACUAUUAUCUAUGUAUGUGAGAUAACUAUACAUAUUAGCUUUCUGUUGCUGCUAUAAGAUAUUACUGCAAAACUUAGUGAGUUAAAACACCACCAAUCUAUUCUCUUACAGUUCUAGACUUCAGAAGUCUAAAAUUAAGAUGUUGUAUGGGAUAUGUUCCUCUGGAAGCUUUAGAGGAAAAUAUAUUUCUUUGCCUCUUCUAGCUUCUAGAGACUACUUACAUUUCUUGGUUUAUGGCUCCCUCCUCCAUUUUCUAAGUGUAUGACUACAACUUCUGGCUCCCUUGUCACAUUUAUUUUUUCUGACUUUGCUUUUUUACCUUCUUCUUAUAAGAACCCUCGUGAUUAUAUUGGAAUAUAAAUAUAGAUAAUACCAGAUAAUUCAGGAUAGUCUCCAAUUUCAAGAACCUUAGUGACAUCUACAAAGUCUCUUUUGCCAUGUAAGGUAGCAUAUUUAAAGUUUCUGGGGGAUUUGAAUGAGGACAUCAUUGGCGAUGGAAGCUUUAUUUUGUCUUCCACACUAUGCAUGAAUGUUUAAAGAAUUUUUUUUAAAAUGGAAAAAAAGAUAAACAUCAUGGCAAUAUAUACAAGUAAUCAUGUAGAUGUAAAAAGAAGCAGAUAAAAAUUAAAAAUAAAAUGUAAUCAUCAAUUAAAAAAAAAACUUAAGGGAUGGACCAAACAACAGAGUAGAUGUGGCUGAAGAAAGAAUUAGUGAACUGAAAGACAGAGCUGAAAACUUUCAGAAUGUCACACAGAAAGCUGAAAUGGAAAAUAUGAGAGAGGUUAAUAGAUAUGGAGAAGAGAAUGAGAGUGCCUAACAUACUUGUAUUUGAAGCCCUAGGAAGAAAAAAUAAAAAUAUUGAAGGAGAGGCAAUAUUUGAAAGCAUAAAUUUGAGAAUUUUCUAGAACUGAUACUAUAUAAGCCACAGAUACAGGAAAGAUAAUAUUUACCAAGAAGAAUAAAGUGAAAAGAAAUCUACCCCUAGUUAUAAAGUUGAGCAACUGCAGAACAUCAAUGACAAAGAGAUCUAAGAUGUAGCCAUGUAGAAAAGACAAAUUAUAACCUUCUUUCCCCUCCAAAAGACUUAGAAUAGGCUUUUUUAAAACCUGAAAAAAUGGAAGUCAGAAUAAUUGCAUAUG
This 42142-nucleotide long non-coding RNA is filed under the name Homo sapiens (human). Its description in RNAcentral is "HSALNT0346092". The record is from RNAcentral. Lineage: Eukaryota; Metazoa; Chordata; Mammalia; Primates; Hominidae.